CAGCUGUCUUACAUAGGAAUUACCACAGGGACCUUAGAUCAAAGACUAAAAGAGCAUCACUAGGAAAAACUCAACAACUUUAAUAUAGCUAACGUUUUCGGUGCCUUAAUUGCACCCUCCUCAGGCUGCAUAUGAUAACAAACAAUAACAGAAAAAUAAGUGAAUAGGUUCUAUUCACUUAUUUAAUUUUCUGUUAUCGUUUGUUAUCAAAAAGUGUAAGAAAGUUAUCAUAGUGCACACUAAUCUUGAUAUAAACCUUGAAAUAGAGCAAGCUCAGCUUAAAAUGGCAAUCUAUAAGAAGCCUAUGCACCAACAAGUACUUAUACCCAGAUGGACCCCAGACCUGCCAUCUUACAGAAAAGCUGCCUUUUGGUUGCUUUUCAAAAGAGCGUUUCUAUACUUCUCUGACCACCAAGACCUGAACAGUGAAAUUAGUUACAUUUACAAAAUUGGUUAUCAGCACGGAUACCCAAAAAGUUUCAUAAGAGCCAUACAUAACCAAAUCCAAUGGCCGGCAAUACCAAAACUGUUUACAACAUCUCAGCCAACUACAAGCGCU
This 559-nucleotide long non-coding RNA is filed under the name Androctonus crassicauda. The record is from RNAcentral. Lineage: Eukaryota; Metazoa; Arthropoda; Arachnida; Scorpiones; Buthidae.